Molecule: long non-coding RNA, 373 nt
Organism: Heterocephalus glaber (naked mole-rat)
Lineage: Eukaryota; Metazoa; Chordata; Mammalia; Rodentia; Bathyergidae
Source: Ensembl
AUCAACAUUACUUUCAUGUUUAUUGGCCUCUUGGGUUUUUAAAGUGUGUCCUUUUGUUUCUCUUCCAUUCAGAGUGCGAAAUGGACUGAGUGGUCCUAAUGUCUACCUUCCCCAUUUUACAGAUGAGGAGCGAGGAGUUAAAGAAAUGUCGUGACUACUAUAGCUCAAAGUCCCCAACCUGACAAAAACCAGGUUCCCAGGCCUCUGGUCCUUUUAUAUCCAACAGUCAACUCCUGCAUUUGAAGGAAGGACCUUUGUGGUGGGAUUCAGGGUCCAGGGCUGGAGUUCCCAGAAGAGUUUUACUAGAGUGUGGAGGAUUCUAUUAACAACCUCAAGCUGUUGUCUCCAUUAAGACCUGCUUCUGGAAAGCUAC